Molecule: long non-coding RNA, 378 nt
Organism: Nomascus leucogenys (northern white-cheeked gibbon)
Lineage: Eukaryota; Metazoa; Chordata; Mammalia; Primates; Hylobatidae
Exons: 3
Source: RefSeq, a predicted model, not a curated record
AGGAAAAAAGGAACCGAAAUAGCCCAGACUGGCGCUCCCCGGACCCUGCGGCUGGCGGCGCUGCCCACGGAGGGGGCGGGCUGGGAGUGCGGGAUCCGGGGGAGACGAAGGCGAAGGAGCUGCGGGGCUCGUUUUGCUUCGGGAAAAGAUGGAGUGAAGGUGCCUGAACGCAGGAACCCUGGUCUUCAGUGCUGCCUCAGCAUUAGCUGAAGUGCCAUGGGCCGGCUCCCAGGGUACCAGAGUUUCCCACCAUUUGAGUACCAGUGAACUAGAGUCAGCAAGUUAAAGUAAGAGAGAACUUACUUGAAGGUCGAUGAUUUCUCUUGCUGACUCCAUCUCGCUGCCCUCAAGUCCCUUCACACGCACCGGGUGCCGGGA